CUGACCAAUGGAAUCCCAGAAAAUGUGAGGCAAAGCAGAGGCUUUAGAUAGGCUUGUGUGAUUUUACUUUAUCAUUUGAUCUUAUUUAUCCUGAAAAGAAAAUAUCCAGGGUGGUUCUUGUCCAAAGAAGAAGAAAAAGGGAACAGAUAUCAACCAAGCCAAGAUCUCCAGCCAAGUCUAGCUGGAUUUCUGCCUGAGAAGACCAACUACACUGACCCAGAGACUUCCGAGUAAGGAAGAUAAAUGUCAAUGAGAACCAUGAAACCUAAGAAGAGAGGAACAGGCCCUGACUGGGUGGCCCUAUUAACAACUGAGUGGAUCUUCAUAGCAGGAACACAACUAUCAGAAGCAAAUGGUAAAAAGAUUUCAUUGAAAAGCAGCAGUCAGGGAUUUUAUGCAUUGUGAAUCUUCCACAGGAGUAUGCAGAAUUUCUCAAUUUAUUUGACCAUGAAGCAUUCUUUUUCCUACCAACACACUUUUGGAAAAUGCUGGAUUAUACUUAUUCUACUUGUAGCAGUAAUUCUACUUGCUUCUAUUGUACAUAGAAUUAAAAGCCCUCCAUAAACUUGAUCUUGAUGCCUAG
This 583-nucleotide long non-coding RNA is filed under the name Heterocephalus glaber (naked mole-rat). RNAcentral's name for it is "lncRNA (ENSHGLG00000029045.2)". The record is from RNAcentral. Lineage: Eukaryota; Metazoa; Chordata; Mammalia; Rodentia; Bathyergidae.